This 253-nucleotide ribosomal RNA is filed under the name uncultured bacterium. Its description in RNAcentral is "partial 16S ribosomal RNA". It matches the Rfam family "Bacterial small subunit ribosomal RNA", at positions 524 to 776 of the family's 1533-position model. The record is from RNAcentral.
UACGUAGGGAGCAAGCGUUGUCCGGAAUCAUUGGGCGUAAAGCGUGCGCAGGCGGUUUGCUAAGAGAGAUGUGAAAUCCCCGGGCUUAACCUGGGAACUGCGUUUCUAACUGGCAGGCUUGAGUGUGGCAGAGGGGGGUGGAAUUCCACGUGUAGCAGUGAAAUGCGUAGAUAUGUGGAGGAACACCGAUGGCGAAGGCAGCCCCCUGGGCUAACACUGACGCUCAUGCACGAAAGCGUGGGGAGCAAACAGG